AGAGUUUGAUCCUGGCUCAGGAUGAACGCUAGCGACAGGCUUAACACAUGCAAGUCGAGGGGCAGCGGGGCGAGAGCUUGCUCUCGCCGCCGGCGACCGGCGCACGGGUGAGUAACACGUAUGCAACCUGCCCCCUGCAGGAGGAUAACCGGGAGAAAUCCCGACUAAUACUGCAUAACGCGGCGGAGGGACAUCCCUCUGCCGCCAAAGGAAGCGAUUCCGGCAGGGGAUGGGCAUGCGGCGCAUUAGCUAGUUGGCGGGGCGACGGCCCACCAAGGCGACGAUGCGUAGGGGUUCUGAGAGGAAGGUCCCCCACACUGGUACUGAGACACGGACCAGACUCCUACGGGAGGCAGCAGUGAGGAAUAUUGGUCAAUGGGCGGAAGCCUGAACCAGCCAAGUCGCGUGAGGGAAGACGGCCCUACGGGUUGUAAACCUCUUUUGCCGGGGAGCAAUGCCCAGCUCGCGAGCUGGGAAGGAGAGUACCCGGAGAAAAAGCAUCGGCUAACUCCGUGCCAGCAGCCGCGGUAAUACGGAGGAUGCGAGCGUUAUCCGGAUUUAUUGGGUUUAAAGGGUGCGUAGGCGGUCUGUUAAGUCAGCGGUCAAAUGUCGGCGCUCAACGCCGGCCUGCCGUUGAAACUGGCGGACUUGAGUGGGCGAGAAGUAUGCGGAAUGCGUGGUGUAGCGGUGAAAUGCAUAGAUAUCACGCAGAACCCCGAUUGCGAAGGCAGCAUACCGGCGCCCAACUGACGCUGAGGCACGAAAGCGUGGGUAUCGAACAGGAUUAGAUACCCUGGUAGUCCACGCAGUAAACGAUGAAUGUCAGCUGUCCGACCCUCCGGGGUUGGGUGGCACAGCGAAAGCGUUAAACAUUCCACCUGGGGAGUACGCCGGCAACGGUGAAACUCAAAGGAAUUGAC
RNAcentral lists this ribosomal RNA (920 nucleotides) under uncultured bacterium. RNAcentral's name for it is "bacterial SSU rRNA". It matches the Rfam family "Bacterial small subunit ribosomal RNA", at positions 8 to 914 of the family's 1533-position model. The record is from RNAcentral.